Molecule: ribosomal RNA, 253 nt
Filed under: uncultured bacterium
Lineage: Bacteria
Description: partial 16S ribosomal RNA
Rfam family: Bacterial small subunit ribosomal RNA
Source: RNAcentral
UACAGAGGGUGCGAGCGUUAAUCGGAAUUACUGGGCGUAAAGCGUGCGUAGACGGCUAUCUAAGUCGGGUGUGAAAGCCCCGGGCUCAACCUGGGAAUUGCAUUCGAGACUGAAUAGCUAGGGUACGGUAGAGGGAAGUGGAAUUUCCGGUGUAGCGGUGAAAUACGUAGAUAUCUGGAGGAAUACCGGUGGCGAAGGCGGCUAUCUGGCCAUGUACUGACGCUGAGACACGAAAGCGUGGGGAGCAAACAGG